This 155-nucleotide non-coding RNA is filed under the name Bacillus sp. (in: firmicutes). RNAcentral describes it as "Bacillus sp. SAM-I sequence". It matches the Rfam family "SAM riboswitch aptamer (S box leader)". Rfam says of the family: The SAM riboswitch is found upstream of a number of genes which code for proteins involved in methionine or cysteine biosynthesis in Gram-positive bacteria. The SAM riboswitch acts at the level of transcription termination control. The predicted structure consists of a complex stem-loop region followed by a single stem loop terminator region. RNAcentral also lists the same sequence under 1 other name. The record is from RNAcentral. Lineage: Bacteria; Bacillati; Bacillota; Bacilli; Caryophanales; Bacillaceae.
CUCUUAUCACGAGCAGGCUGAGGGAUUUGGCCCUUUGAAGCCCAGCAACCGACCGUAAUUCCAUUGCAAAAUGGGGCGCAUCCAGCGCCGGGAUUUAUUCCCUCUAAGGCACGGUGCUAAUUCCAACAGAAAGAAAUCUUUCUGAGAGAUAAGAG